GGCUCCGUGGUCAAGUGGUUAAGACAUCGCCCUUUCACGGCGGUAACACGAGUUCGAACCUCGUCGGAGUCACUA
This 75-nucleotide transfer RNA is filed under the name Lachnospiraceae bacterium. RNAcentral's name for it is "tRNA-Glu". It matches the Rfam family "tRNA". From Rfam's summary of the family: Transfer RNA (tRNA) molecules are approximately 80 nucleotides in length. Their secondary structure includes four short double-helical elements and three loops (D, anti-codon, and T loops). The record is from RNAcentral. Lineage: Bacteria; Bacillati; Bacillota; Clostridia; Lachnospirales; Lachnospiraceae.